This 642-nucleotide long non-coding RNA is filed under the name Heterocephalus glaber (naked mole-rat). RNAcentral describes it as "lncRNA (ENSHGLG00000034533.1)". Lineage: Eukaryota; Metazoa; Chordata; Mammalia; Rodentia; Bathyergidae. The record is from RNAcentral.
AGGCUGUUGUGGUCAGGGCGGGGUCUUCCAGAAAAGAAGCCCAGAAUGUACUGGAAGAAUACAGGAGAUCACUCAGUCAUGGACUUUGGUGAAAACAGAGUGUGAUGCCUGUGCUUUGCCAUUUUGUGUGACUUCUGAGUGAGAAUACCAACUGGUUGACAGUGAUUGCUACAUCACAGGAUCCGGGUAUGAAGCUACAUCUGUCCCCCCAGGAAGGGUACACCAAUCAGUAGGCAGUGGCCCCUACUGGUACAAGCAGGAGACAAGGGACAUGUGUCAGCUCAUAACCAGAUUUUGCUUCAUACUGUAUAGGACCAAAGCAGUGGACCAUGACGAUGAGCAGACCAGUGCUCUCAUUAAGCAUGACCUUUGCUCUGAUAGAGCCCCUUGGAAUGCAGAAAGAUAACAAGAAGGGAAUAGCUGAGUCAAAUGGAACCUCUACUUAAGUUUUUGAGGAAUCUCCACACUGAUUUCCACAGUAGUCCACACUUUCAACAACGGUGAAGAAUGAUUCCUUUUAACCUAUAGCCCAGCCAGCAUUUGUUAUUCGUUGAUUUCUUGAUAAUAGCCAUUCUUUCUGGAGGGAGAUGGAGUCUCAGUAUUGAACAUUUAUAUUUAAUUGCCAUUUGUACUUCUUAAUCU